GCGGAUAUUCAGCUCCAAUAGCGUAUACUAAAGCUGCUGCGGUUAAAAAGCUCGUAGUUGGAUCUCAGUUCCAGACGAGUAGUGCAUCUACCCGAUGCGACGGCUCGGACUGAACAUCAUGCCGGUUCUUUCUUGGUGCACUUCAUUGUGUGCCUCGAGAUGGCCGGUGCUUUUACUUUGAAAAAAUUAGAGUGCUCAACGCAGGCGAGUCGCCUGAAUAAACUUGCAUGGAAUAAUAGAACAAGACCUCGUUUCUGUUCUGUUGGUUUU
This 270-nucleotide ribosomal RNA is filed under the name Rhipicephalus annulatus. RNAcentral's name for it is "partial small subunit ribosomal RNA". It matches the Rfam family "Eukaryotic small subunit ribosomal RNA", at positions 576 to 851 of the family's 1831-position model. The record is from RNAcentral. Lineage: Eukaryota; Metazoa; Arthropoda; Arachnida; Ixodida; Ixodidae.